Molecule: small RNA, 91 nt
Filed under: Arabidopsis thaliana (thale cress)
Lineage: Eukaryota; Viridiplantae; Streptophyta; Magnoliopsida; Brassicales; Brassicaceae
Description: ATSL007910
Source: RNAcentral
AUUGAUAAAGAGGGGUUGGUAGACUACUGGAUAAGUGAGGGAUUCAUAAAUGAAAAAGAAGGCAGAGAGAGGAAUAUUAACCAAGGUUAUG